RNAcentral lists this ribosomal RNA (1145 nucleotides) under Staphylococcus sp. Its description in RNAcentral is "bacterial SSU rRNA". It matches the Rfam family "Bacterial small subunit ribosomal RNA", at positions 35 to 1154 of the family's 1533-position model. The record is from RNAcentral. Lineage: Bacteria; Bacillati; Bacillota; Bacilli; Caryophanales; Staphylococcaceae.
GCUGGCGGCGUGCCUAAUACAUGCAAGUCGAGCGAACGGACGAGAAGCUUGCUUCUCUGAUGUUAGCGGCGGACGGGUGAGUAACACGUGGAUAACCUACCUAUAAGACUGGGAUAACUUCGGGAAACCGGAGCUAAUACCGGAUAAUAUUUUGAACCGCAUGGUUCAAAAGUGAAAGACGGUCUUGCUGUCACUUAUAGAUGGAUCCGCGCUGCAUUAGCUAGUUGGUAAGGUAACGGCUUACCAAGGCAACGAUGCAUAGCCGACCUGAGAGGGUGAUCGGCCACACUGGAACUGAGACACGGUCCAGACUCCUACGGGAGGCAGCAGUAGGGAAUCUUCCGCAAUGGGCGAAAGCCUGACGGAGCAACGCCGCGUGAGUGAUGAAGGUCUUCGGAUCGUAAAACUCUGUUAUUAGGGAAGAACAUAUGUGUAAGUAACUGUGCACAUCUUGACGGUACCUAAUCAGAAAGCCACGGCUAACUACGUGCCAGCAGCCGCGGUAAUACGUAGGUGGCAAGCGUUAUCCGGAAUUAUUGGGCGUAAAGCGCGCGUAGGCGGUUUUUUAAGUCUGAUGUGAAAGCCCACGGCUCAACCGUGGAGGGUCAUUGGAAACUGGAAAACUUGAGUGCAGAAGAGGAAAGUGGAAUUCCAUGUGUAGCGGUGAAAUGCGCAGAGAUAUGGAGGAACACCAGUGGCGAAGGCGACUUUCUGGUCUGUAACUGACGCUGAUGUGCGAAAGCGUGGGGAUCAAACAGGAUUAGAUACCCUGGUAGUCCACGCCGUAAACGAUGAGUGCUAAGUGUUAGGGGGGUUUCCGCCCCUUAGUGCUGCAGCUAACGCAUUAAGCACUCCGCCUGGGGAGUACGACCGCAAGGUUGAAACUCAAAGGAAUUGACGGGGACCCGCACAAGCGGUGGAGCAUGUGGUUUAAUUCGAAGCAACGCGAAGAACCUUACCAAAUCUUGACAUCCUUUGACAACUCUAGAGAUAGAGCCUUCCCCUUCGGGGGACAAAGUGACAGGUGGGGGCAUGGUUGUCGUCACCUCCUGUCCUGAAAAGUUUGGGUUAAUUCCCGCAACGAAGGGCAACCCCUUAAGCUUAUUUGGCCACCAUUAAGUUGGGGCACUCUAAGUUGACUGCCG